CUGAAAAGUAAGCAGCUUUGUGGUGAGACAUGAGAACGUGUUCAAAACUUCGUAUGGACAACUCAAAAACAGAGGGAUAUACAAACGAAUAUAUGAACAGAUAGACGGACAUGGCUAUAUUGACUCAGCUCGCCGUGAUGAACGAGUAUGUGUACACUUUAUAGAGCGCUUUCUUCUGGGUGUUACCUUACCUUAUGUUUUCUAAAGAACAUUGAAAUUUAUCUAUUCAGGAUUUUUUGAACAAACAAUGGAAUCGCAAAGACCCUACAUUUAAGAGCAUGCAACGACACUCUAAGGCAGUAAGGGAGCAGUGAAGCUAAAAGGUUGUUGAUAAAUCUACGUUCAAAUAAAUAAGGUAGCUGUACAAUACUGUCCUAAUUUAGAUGUUUCAAGAUCUGUCAUAUAACAGAUUUAUACGGCUUUGUGGAAAAGCAGAAAGCGAAGAAUGUCAUAACUCUUUGGAAUUAUGGUGUAUAUCAUACGUUCUGUAAGUGUAAUUGGUUAAUGCUAUAUGAUGUUAGAAAGAUAAAUUUUUGCCGGAGACAGCAUCAGUAUCAUUUGAACACCAGUCGAAAGGGGACGCCAGCAAAAAACACAAAUGCCAUGUUACAUCUCUUCUUAAGCAAAACCAAAAACGGAAGCCAUCCGCGUGAAAAUGUGAAUAGUUUUUAUG
Long non-coding RNA from Bactrocera tryoni, 673 nucleotides. RefSeq lists it as uncharacterized. The transcript has 3 exons. The record is from RefSeq and is a predicted model, not a curated record. NCBI's taxonomy places the organism in Eukaryota, Metazoa, Arthropoda, Insecta, Diptera, Tephritidae.